Molecule: ribosomal RNA, 463 nt
Filed under: uncultured bacterium
Lineage: Bacteria
Description: partial 16S ribosomal RNA
Rfam family: Bacterial small subunit ribosomal RNA
Source: RNAcentral
GACGAACGCUGGCGGCGUGCUUAACACAUGCAAGUCGAACGGUGAACCUCUUCGGUGGGGAUCAGUGGCGAACGGGUGAGUAACACGUGGGCAACCUGCCCCCGGCUCUGGGAUAACUCCAAGAAAUUGGGGCUAAUACCGGAUGUUCACCGCUUCCCGCAUGGCUGGUGGUGGAAAGGGUUUCCGGCUGGGGAUGGGCCCGCGGCCUAUCAGCUUGUUGGUGGGGUAGUGGCCUACCAAGGCGAGGACGGGUAGCCGGCCUGAGAGGGUGACCGGCCACACUGGGACUGAGACACGGCCCAGACUCCUACGGGAGGCAGCAGUGGGGAAUAUUGCGCAAUGGGCGGAAGCCUGACGCAGCGACGCCGCGUGGGGGAUGACGGCCUUCGGGUUGUAAACCUCUUUCGGCAGGGACGAAGCGCAAGUGACGGUACCUGCAGAAGAAGCACCGGCCAACUACGUG